Molecule: ribosomal RNA, 369 nt
Filed under: uncultured organism
Description: partial 16S ribosomal RNA
Rfam family: Bacterial small subunit ribosomal RNA
Source: RNAcentral
GAAGGGGGCUAGCGUUACUCGGAAUUACUGGGCGUAAAGGGCGCGUAGGCGGCACCGUCAGUCAGGCGUGAAAUUCCUGGGCUCAACCUGGGGACUGCGCUUGAUACGGCGGAGCUAGAGGAUGGAAGAGGCUCGUGGAAUUCCCAGUGUAGAGGUGAAAUUCGUAGAUAUUGGGAAGAACACCGGUGGCGAAGGCGGCGAGCUGGUCCAUUACUGACGCUGAGGCGCGACAGCGUGGGGAGCAAACAGGAUUAGAUACCCUGGUAGUCCACGCCGUAAACGAUGUGCGCUGGAUGUUGGGUGACCUAGUCACUCAGUGUCGUAGCUAACGCGAUAAGCGCACCGCCUGGGAGUACGGCCGCAAGGUUG